UAAUACGUAGGGGGCAAGCGUUGUCCGGAUUUACUGGGCGUAAAGAGCGCGUAGGCGGAAGCUUAAGUGUGGCCUGAAAGCCCCCGGCUCAACCGGGGAAGGUGGCUGCAAACUGGGCUUCUUGAGGGGGAUAGGGGAAAGUGGAAUUCCGGGUGUAGCGGUGAAAUGCGUAGAGAUCCGGAGGAACACCAGUGGCGAAGGCGGCUUUCUGGGUCCGCCCUGACGCUGAGGCGCGAAAGCGUGGGGAGCGAACGGG
Molecule: ribosomal RNA, 256 nt
Filed under: uncultured archaeon
Lineage: Archaea
Description: partial 16S ribosomal RNA
Rfam family: Bacterial small subunit ribosomal RNA
Source: RNAcentral